GACGCGCCCGUCGAAAGUAUAAAGUAUCGUGAUUUUAGUAAAUGCGUAAAAUUACGAUUUAUUUAAUACUUAACUUAAUAAUUGUACAGAAUAAGUUCAGAAAUAAAAAAUGUCCUCCAAUCGAGAGGUUGUGUCCUUACAGUUUGGCAACUACGCGAACUACAUUGGAGCACAUUGGUGGAAUAUUCAGGAGUCCAGUUUCAAUUAUAAUCCUGAUCACGGUCCUUCUGAAAUAAAUCAUGACGUGUUAUACAGGGAAGGAGUAAAUUUGAACAAGCAAGUUACUUACACUCCACGUUUACUACUUGUAGAUUUGGAUGGUUCCCUAAAGCAUCUACCACGGGAGGGUGAACUUUAUGGCAAUAGUAUUAAACGUACACCACACAGCGAUGCUAAUAGCGAAGAUGCUGUAAAGAAAAUCAAAGAAGACCUCCAAAAUAUGAGCACAGACUUAGAAGUCGUGCAGCAGCCGCAAGCUCCGAAGCACGAGUUUCAGAAAGAUCUCGAAAAUCCUGUUGUCAAUAUUCAAGAAAAGGAGUACAAUUUAACAGACGAUGUAGAAACAUGGACAGACUAUCUUUAUGCACGCUACCACCCACGCACUGUAAAUGUAGUCAACGAAUAUAAACAUGAUGCAGAGAAGCAAACAUUUGAUACAUUUGCUUCUGGUGUACAGCUUUGGAAAACAGAAAAGUUCGAGGACGAAUUUUGUGAUAAAAUACGCCAAUACGUAGAGGAAUGUGACUUUUUGCAGGGAUUCCAAACUUUAUUUGACUGCUUCAAUGGGUUCUCGGGAUUAGCCACAGAAUGUCUAGAGCACCUGAAUGAUGAGUAUGGCAAAGCCAAUUUUGCGAUUCCAGUGUACUCACCUCGAAAUACGCUAUUUAAAAAUGCUGAUGCGGCUAUGACAGACUCCAUAAGGGUAGUAAACAGCGCAUUGACGUUCCACAAAUUAAGCGAGCAAGCAUCGUUGUUUGUGCCGCUGGGGACAUGUGACCGCGUUUGGCGACAGUUUGGCGCAGCACGUCAGCUACCGGCACUUAAUUAUCAAGCAGAUAAUUUGUAUCAAACUUCUGCCGUGCUAGCCGCAUACUUAGACACAAUCUCGCUACGUUAUCGUUUGCGCAAUGCGCCUGGCGCAUACUCGCUUCCUGCUUUUUGUGGUGAUCUAAAUAAUUAUGGACGUAAAUUGGCUGCUGCCGCUUUUGCGUUGCCUUUCGCCAUGCAGCAUGACCAAUACUUAAUUGAUUGCUUGGACAAGUUUGAAGGUCCAAUAUUCACAUCACUCACACCAAAUUGCAGCAUUGGCACUGAUUAUAUUAUACAGUCACUCUGUGUGCGUGGUAUACCGCGCGAACGUCUCAAGCGACCAUUGGAGAAGGCGAAAGAGCAAAUGCGCAUGGCAGCUUAUAAGUGCGAUAGUGUGUCCGAAAUGUUUCAACUAUACCUGCAGUGUGCAAAUCAUGCGAGUAUGGCGCAUGUUGCAUCAAUAUCGAUGGCCAUGCCAACGCGUAUACCAUUUCCAAGUGAAAUAUUCGCUGAAGACGUAACGAAAUUAGGCUUUCUCUCAGCGACAACAAAACGGCAAACCGAUGAAAAAGUGAUCUCUGUGCCGACGCUAGCAGCAGUACAGUCGUCCAGUGAGUUAGGCGAGACUUUAGAAACACUGUACCGCGAAGCAAAACGCGUAAAAAUAGCAAAAUUGCAUCGCUAUAAAGCGGCAGGCUUGGAGCAAGAUGAGUAUGCGGAAGCGCUCGAGCAGUUACUGCUCUUCAAAGACAAUUAUGAAGAUAACUUUGAAUUGUAGCACAAGCAUGAAAACAUUAUAACACAAAAUUUAAACAGUAAUUGGUUUGAUGUUAAAUUCAGAACCCGAAAAACGGAAUCAACUAGUUUUACAUAUAGUGCACUAAAAAUAUUGAGACUAAGCUAGUUACAAUUACAAUACAAUAGCCAUAAAAUAACAAAUAAAAGUGCUUACGGCUAAGAACUGCAUGUG
RNAcentral lists this unclassified non-coding RNA (1999 nucleotides) under Rhagoletis pomonella (apple maggot). RNAcentral's name for it is "protein misato, transcript variant X2". The record is from RNAcentral. Lineage: Eukaryota; Metazoa; Arthropoda; Insecta; Diptera; Tephritidae.